This 490-nucleotide ribosomal RNA is filed under the name uncultured bacterium. RNAcentral describes it as "partial 16S ribosomal RNA". It matches the Rfam family "Bacterial small subunit ribosomal RNA", at positions 30 to 507 of the family's 1533-position model. The record is from RNAcentral.
AUUGAACGCUGGCGGCAGGCCUAACACAUGCAAGUCGAACGGUAACAGAAAGCAGCUUGCUGCUUUGCUGACGAGUGGCGGACGGGUGAGUAAUGUCUGGGAAACUGCCUGAUGGAGGGGGAUAACUACUGGAAACGGUAGCUAAUACCGCAUAACGUCGCAAGACCAAAGAGGGGGACCUUCGGGCCUCUUGCCAUCGGAUGUGCCCAGAUGGGAUUAGCUAGUAGGUGGGGUAACGGCUCACCUAGGCGACGAUCCCUAGCUGGUCUGAGAGGAUGACCAGCCACACUGGAUCUGAGACACGGUCCAGACUCCUACGGGAGGCAGCAGUGGGGAAUAUUGCACAAUGGGCGCAAGCCUGAUGCAGCCAUGCCGCGUGUAUGAAGAAGGCCUUCGGGUUGUAAAGUACUUUCAGCGGGGAGGAAGGGAGUAAAGUUAAUACCUUUGCUCAUUGACGUUACCCGCAGAAGAAGCACCGGCUAACUCCGUG